This 223-nucleotide ribosomal RNA is filed under the name uncultured bacterium. Its description in RNAcentral is "partial 16S ribosomal RNA". It matches the Rfam family "Bacterial small subunit ribosomal RNA", at positions 328 to 539 of the family's 1533-position model. The record is from RNAcentral.
ACGCUCGACACCUACGGGUGGCAGCAGUAGGGAAUCUUCCACAAUGGGCGCAAGCCUGAUGGAGCAACACCGCGUGAGUGAAGAAGGGUUUCGGCUCGUAAAGCUCUGUUGUUGGAGAAGAACGUGCGUGAGAGUAACUGUUCACGCAGUGACGGUAUCCAACCAGAAAGUCACGGCUAACUACGUGCCAACAGCCGCGGUAAUCUGAGCGGGCUGGCAAGGC